This 465-nucleotide ribosomal RNA is filed under the name uncultured bacterium. Its description in RNAcentral is "partial 16S ribosomal RNA". It matches the Rfam family "Bacterial small subunit ribosomal RNA", at positions 28 to 507 of the family's 1533-position model. The record is from RNAcentral.
GACGAACGCUGGCGGCGUGCUUAACACAUGCAAGUCGAACGGAAAGGCCCUGCUUGCAGGGUACUCGAGUGGCGAACGGGUGAGUAACACGUGGGUGAUCUGCCCUGCACUUCGGGAUAAGCCUGGGAAACUGUGUCUAAUACCGGAUAGGAGCCAUUUUUAGUGUGAUGGUUGGAAAGUUUUUUCGGUGUUGGAUGAGCUCGCGGCCUAUCAGCUUGUUGGUGGGGUAAUGGCCUACCAAGGCGGCGACGGGUAGCCGGCCUGAGGGGGUGGACGGCCACAUUGGGACUGAGAUACGGCCCAGACUCCUACGGGGGGCAGCAGGGGGGAAUAUUGCACAAUGGGCGCAAGCCUGAUGCAGCGACGCCGCGUGGGGGAUGACGGCCUUCGGGUUGUAAACCCCUUUCGCUAGGGACGAAGCUUUUUGUGACGGUACCUAGAUAAGAAGCACCGGCUAACUACGUG